CAUCAUUUAAAGAAAGCGUAAUAGCUCACUGGUCGAGUCGGCCUGCGCGGAAGAUGUAACGGGGCUAAACCAUGCACCGAAGCUGCGGCAGCGACACUAUGUGUUGUUGGGUAGGGGAGCGUUCUGUAAGCCUGCGAAGGUGUACUGUGAGGUAUGCUGGAGGUAUCAGAAGUGCGAAUGCUGACAUAAGUAACGAUAAAGCGGGUGAAAAGCCCGCUCGCCGGAAGACCAAGGGUUCCUGUCCAACGUUAAUCGGGGCAGGGUGAGUCGACCCCUAAGGCGAGGCCGAAAGGCGUAGUCGAUGGGAAACAGGUUAAUAUUCCUGUACUUGGUGUUACUGCGAAGGGGGGACGGAGAAGGCUAUGUUGGCCGGGCGACGGUUGUCCCGGUUUAAGCGUGUAGGCUGGUUUUCCAGGCAAAUCCGGAAAAUCAAGGCUGAGGCGUGAUGACGAGGCACUACGGUGCUGAAGCAACAAAUGCCCUGCUUCCAGGAAAAGCCUCUAAGCAUCAGGUAACAUCAAAUCGUACCCCAAACCGACACAGGUGGUCAGGUAGAGAAUACCAAGGCGCUUGAGAGAACUCGGGUGAAGGAACUAGGCAAAAUGGUGCCGUAACUUCGGGAGAAGGCACGCUGAUACGUAGGUGAAGCGACUUGCUCGUGGAGCUGAAAUCAGUCGAAGAUACCAGCUGGCUGCAACUGUUUAUUAAAAACACAGCACUGUGCAAACACGAAAGUGGACGUAUACGGUGUGACGCCUGCCCGGUGCCGGAAGGUUAAUUGAUGGGGUUAGCGGUAACGCGAAGCUCUUGAUCGAAGCCCCGGUAAACGGCGGCCGUAACUAUAACGGUCCUAAGGUAGCGAAAUUCCUUGUCGGGUAAGUUCCGACCUGCACGAAUGGCGUAAUGAUGGCCAGGCUGUCUCCACCCGAGACUCAGUGAAAUUGAACUCGCUGUGAAGAUGCAGUAUACCCGCGGCAAGACGGAAAGACCCCGUGAACCUUUACUAUAGCUUGACACUGAACAUUGAGCCUUGAUGUGUAGGAUAGGUGGGAGGCUUUGAAGUGUGGACGCCAGUCUGCAUGGAGCCGACCUUGAAAUACCACCCUUUAAUGUUUGAUGUUCUAACGUUGGCCCCUAAUCGGGGUUGCGGACAGUGUCUGGUGGGUAGUUUGACUGGGGCGGUCUCCUCCUAAAGAGUAACGGAGGAGCACGAAGGUUGGCUAAUCCUGGUCGGACAUCAGGAGGUUAGUGCAAUGGCAUAAGCCAGCUUGACUGCGAGCGUGACGGCGCGAGCAGGUGCGAAAGCAGGUCAUAGUGAUCCGGUGGUUCUGAAUGGAAGGGCCAUCGCUCAACGGAUAAAAGGUACUCCGGGGAUAACAGGCUGAUACCGCCCAAGAGUUCAUAUCGACGGCGGUGUUUGGCACCUCGAUGUCGGCUCAUCACAUCCUGGGGCUGAAGUAGGUCCCAAGGGUAUGGCUGUUCGCCAUUUAAAGUGGUACGCGAGCUGGGUUUAGAACGUCGUGAGACAGUUCGGUCCCUAUCUGCCGUGGGCGCUGGAGAACUGAGGGGGGCUGCUCCUAGUACGAGAGGACCGGAGUGGACGCAUCACUGGUGUUCGGGUUGUCAUGCCAAUGGCACUGCCCGGUAGCUAAAUGCGGAAGAGAUAAGUGCUGAAAGCAUCUAAGCACGAAACUUGCCCCGAGAUGAGUUCUCCCUGACUCCCUGAGAGUCCUGAAGGAACGUUGAAGACGACGACGUUGAUAGGCCGGGUGUGUAAGCGCAGCGAUGCGUUGAGCUAACCGGUACUAAUGAACCGUGAGGCUUAACCUU
Molecule: ribosomal RNA, 1830 nt
Filed under: Escherichia coli HVH 208 (4-3112292)
Lineage: Bacteria; Pseudomonadati; Pseudomonadota; Gammaproteobacteria; Enterobacterales; Enterobacteriaceae
Description: bacterial LSU rRNA
Rfam family: Bacterial large subunit ribosomal RNA
Source: RNAcentral